Molecule: ribosomal RNA, 609 nt
Filed under: uncultured bacterium
Lineage: Bacteria
Description: bacterial SSU rRNA
Rfam family: Bacterial small subunit ribosomal RNA
Source: RNAcentral
UGCGGCCUAUCAGGUAGUUGGUGGGGUAAAGGCCUACCAAGCCUGCGACGGGUAGCCGGACUGAGAGGUCGACCGGCCACACUGGAACUGAGACACGGUCCAGACUCCUACGGGAGGCAGCAGUGGGGAAUAUUGCACAAUGGGGGAAACCCUGAUGCAGCGACGCCGCGUGGAGGAUGACGGCCUUCGGGUUGUAAACUCCUUUUGUCAGGGACAAUGGUGAUGGUACCUGACGAAUAAGCCACGGCUAACUCUGUGCCAGCAGCCGCGGUAAGACAGAGGUGGCGAGCGUUGUUCGGAAUUACUGGGCUUAAAGGGCGCGUAGGCGGUGGUGUAAGUCUGGGGUGGAAUGCUACAGCUCAACUGUAGAGCUGCCCUGGAAACUGCAUUACUUGAGUCGGUGAGGGGAAGGCGGAAUUCCUGGUGUAGCGGUGAAAUGCGUAGAUAUCAGGAGGAAGGUCUGUGGCGAAGGCGGCCUUCUGGCACUUGACUGACGCUGAGGCGCGAAAGCGUGGGGAGCAAACAGGAUUAGAUACCCUGGUAGUCCACGCCCUAAACGGUGGGUAUUAGGUGUGGGGCCUUCAUGGGUUCCGUGCCGUAGCGAAAGCA